GAUGAACGCUGGCGGCGUGCCUAAUACAUGCAAGUCGAGCGAACAGACGAGGAGCUUGCUCCUCUGACGUUAGCGGCGGACGGGUGAGUAACACGUGGAUAACCUACCUAUAAGACUGGGAUAACUUCGGGAAACCGGAGCUAAUACCGGAUAAUAUAUUGAACCGCAUAGUUCAAUAGUGAAAGACGGUUUUGCUGUCACUUAUAGCUGGAUCCGCGCCGCAUUAGCUAGUUGGUAAGGUAACGGCUUACCAAGGCAACGAUGCGUAGCCGACCUGAGAGGAUGAUCGGCCACACUGGAACUGAGACACGGUCCAGACUCCUACGGGAGGCAGCAGUAGGGAAUCUUCCGCAAUGGGCGAAAGCCUGACGGAGCAACGCCGCGUGAGUGAUGAAGGUCUUCGGAUCGUAAAACUCUGUUAUUGGGGAAGAACAAAUGUGUAAGUAACUAUGCACGUCUUGACGGUACCUAAUGAGAAAGCAACGGCUAACUACGUG
RNAcentral lists this ribosomal RNA (497 nucleotides) under uncultured bacterium. Its description in RNAcentral is "partial 16S ribosomal RNA". It matches the Rfam family "Bacterial small subunit ribosomal RNA", at positions 28 to 507 of the family's 1533-position model. The record is from RNAcentral.